This 94-nucleotide transfer RNA is filed under the name Plectosphaerella plurivora. Its description in RNAcentral is "tRNA-Asn". Lineage: Eukaryota; Fungi; Ascomycota; Sordariomycetes; Glomerellales; Plectosphaerellaceae. The record is from RNAcentral.
UCCCUGGUGGCCUAGCUGGUUACGGCGUCCGACUGUUACUGCUCUAGAGCAGCUGCAUAUCGGGAGAUCGACAGUUCGAUCCUGUCUCGGGGAG